Molecule: ribosomal RNA, 254 nt
Filed under: uncultured bacterium
Lineage: Bacteria
Description: partial 16S ribosomal RNA
Rfam family: Bacterial small subunit ribosomal RNA
Source: RNAcentral
UACGUAGGGUGCAAGCGUUGUCCGGAAUUAUUGGGCGUAAAGAGCUCGUAGGCGGUUUGUCGCGUCUGCUGUGAAAACCCGAGGCUCAACCUCGGGCCUGCAGUGGGUACGGGCAGACUAGAGUGCGGUAGGGGAGAUUGGAAUUCCUGGUGUAGCGGUGAAAUGCGCAGAUAUCAGGAGGAACACCGAUGGCGAAGGCAGGUCUCUGGGGCCACUACUGACGCUGAGAAGCGAAAGCAUGGGGAGCGAACAGG